UCCGUAGGGUGCGAGCGUUGUCCGGAUUUAUUGGGCUUAAAGGGUGCGUAGGCGGCUGAAUAAGUCGUGGGUGAAAGCCCGUCGCUCAACGACGGAAUUGCCUGCGAUACUGUUUAGCUUGAGUAUCGUUAAGGUUGGCGGAAUGGGAGGUGUAGCGGUGAAAUGCAUAGAUACCUUCCAGAACACCGAUUGCGUAGGCAGCUGACUAGGCGAUAACUGACGCUGAGGCACGAAAGCGUGGGGAGAGAACAGG
RNAcentral lists this ribosomal RNA (253 nucleotides) under uncultured bacterium. RNAcentral's name for it is "partial 16S ribosomal RNA". It matches the Rfam family "Bacterial small subunit ribosomal RNA", at positions 524 to 776 of the family's 1533-position model. The record is from RNAcentral.